Molecule: long non-coding RNA, 225 nt
Filed under: Linum usitatissimum (flax)
Lineage: Eukaryota; Viridiplantae; Streptophyta; Magnoliopsida; Malpighiales; Linaceae
Description: long non-coding RNA (LUSI_LNC000385)
Source: RNAcentral
UGCACCAGAACUAAUUUAUUUGGUAGUUUCUGAUUAGGUCUAACCAGAUUUGAUUGUCAUCUUUUUGUAUCACUAGGAGUUGCUAACCUGUCUGUAUUAUGUUUUGUCCUCAAAUUUUGGCUUCUCUCCUUACUAAUGUAAUUUUUCUAAAACUGCUUCUCUGGUUGCUUCUUGCCAGCAAAUUGUGCCACCUGUGCUUCAUUCAUUCUCUGACCAAGAUAGUAG